GUAGAAGGAGCCGACGAGUAAUUUGGCGUGGCGAGGCUAAGGCAGCGACAGCCGGAGCCGGAGGGAAACCGGGUCCGAAAGGGCGGCCAGUCGCGUCCAAUUGACCCGAAACCGGGUGAGCUACCCAUGGGCAGGGUGAAGCGCGCGGAACACGCGCGUGGAGGCCCGAACCCGUGUCCAUUGCAAAGGGCAGGGAUGACCUGUGGGUAGGGGUGAAAUGCCAAGCGAACCCGGAGAUAGCUGGUUCUCCCCGAAAUGCAUUUAGGUGCAGCCCCGGGAAGUAAGAGUGCCACGGAGGUAGCGUAUCGGAUCGGCGCGGGGGCUUGCCGCUUACCAACCCGAACCAAACGACGAAUGCCGUGGUGUGUACCCGGGAGUGAGACUGUGGGAGCGAAGUUCCAUAGUCGAGAGGGAAACAGCCCAGACCGCCGGCUAAGGUCCCAAAGUCCGAACUGAGUGGGCAAGGCGGUCGCGGUGCCCAGACAACCAGGAGGUUGGCUUAGAAGCAGCCAUCCUUGAAAGAGUGCGUAAUAGCUCACUGGUCGAUGGUGCCGCGGCACCGACAAUCCACCGGGGCUAAGUUCGGCACCGAAGCCGCGGAUGCAACCGCAUGGUUGCAUGGUAGGGGAGCGUCCCGUUCGCCGGUGAAGGGAAGGGGGAACCCGACCUGGAGGGAACGGGAGUGCGAAUGUCGGCACGAGUAGCGCGAGAGAAGUGUGAAUCUUCUCCACCGAAUGCCCCAGGGUUCCGCAGCCAUGCUGAUCAACUGCGGGUGAGGCGGGCCUAAGCCGAGGCCGGAAGGCGUAGGUGAUGGACAACCGGUUAGUAUUCCGGUCCCGCUGUCAGGCCGUUAUGAGCAAUGGGGGGACGCAGAGGGAUAGGUCCAGGGUCGCAAGGCCUCCAAACCGGUAGGGAGCCCGGAUAGGCAAAUCCGUUCGGGCGAUGACUGAGAGGUGAUGGGAAGGCGCGGGGUUCGCCCCAAGCCGCAUGGAUUGAGUCCGUACUGCCGAGAAAAGCCUCUAGCCAGGACUGGCAGCGCCCGUACCGAAAACCGACACAGGUGGGCUGGUAGAGCAUACCAAGGUGGACGGGAGAACCUCCGUCAAGGAACUCGGCAAAUUAGUCCCGUAACUUCGGGAGAAGGGACGCCCCGGUAGCGUGAACGGACUAGCUCCAGGAGCGUGAGGGGGCCGCAGCGAGCAGGCCCAGGCGACUGUUUACCAAAAACACCGGUCCCUGUCAACACGAAUUCGUGUGGAUGUAUAGGGGCUGAGACCUGCCCAGUGCCGGAAGGUUAAGGGGCGGGGUUCACGCUCCAAACCGAAGCCCCGGUAAACGGCGGCCGUAACUAUAACGGUCCUAAGGUAGCGAAAUUCCUUGUCGGGUAAGUUCCGACCCGCACGAAAGGUAGAACGAUCUGGGCACUGUCCCGACGGGGGACCCGGCGAAACUGAAAGACCGGUGAAGAUACCGGUGACAUGUGGCAGGACAAAAAGACCCCGUGGAGCUUUACUCCAACUUGCCGUUG
This 1528-nucleotide ribosomal RNA is filed under the name metagenome. RNAcentral's name for it is "bacterial LSU rRNA". It matches the Rfam family "Bacterial large subunit ribosomal RNA", at positions 610 to 2119 of the family's 2925-position model. The record is from RNAcentral.